Maylandia zebra (zebra mbuna) is the source of this 471-nucleotide non-coding RNA. Lineage: Eukaryota; Metazoa; Chordata; Actinopteri; Cichliformes; Cichlidae. The record is from RefSeq and is a predicted model, not a curated record.
GUUCGAAGGUGCAGUUCUAUGGCAUUUGGAAGAAGGUCCUGAAACCUCCUCUCCCCUUGGAUGUACGUGGAGUGGAUUUUACUGUCACUCUCUUCAAUGCACUUCCAUCUCUUUUUCCUUCAAAAACUACACCACCAAAGCGGCUGGGAAGUGCCAGUGAGGCUCUCCUUCAUAUCCUCAAGCCAGGUGAAGAUGCAAUGCUAUACCUGGAGAAGCGGCCUCUCUCCUCCCCAGUGCUGCUUUUUGAUGGAACAACCAGCAUUGUUGCUGUAGGAAACAUACCAGUGACCACUCUCCCCUUGGAGGAUUUCUGGGAAGGAAUGUUGGUGUUGAUGGCAUAUUACUACACCUUGCACUUAACAUACCCAAAAUGUGUUGCAACGGUCCUCUCUGUCAUACAAACUGAGGUAAUCACUGAUGCCAUCCAUGAUCAAGAUGCCACUAGUGCAUAUAAGAAAGCAAUAGCUGAGU